GUAGUUGGUUUCAAUUGGGACAACUUUUUUUUUUUUUAUCUUUGGUGCUAUUGUUUUGAUCUCUGGAAAUUGAUGCCAUAAGUUCUUACUUUGAGCUUUUCAAAGUAUGUUGAUGUUUCUUCUCUGUUUUAUUGUAAAUCUUGCUGGAGGCUGUUCUGAGACAAUUUGGUGGAGGUGGUGGUGGUUAUGGAGGUUCAGACACUCUAAUAACCGAUGAGGAAGUGUUACAUCGGCAUCAGAAUCUGGAGAAGCUUUACAUCUCAACACGCUCUGCUAAGCAUUUUCAACGAGAUAUUGUCCGUGGUGUACAAGGAUAUAUCGUUACAGGAUCCAAACAAGUCGAAAUAGGUACUAAGUUGUGUGAGGAUAGUAGGAAAUAUGGUUCGGAUAAUACAUGUACUAGUGGUAAUACACUAACAAGAGCUUCACUCAGCUUCGCAAAUGCUCGAGCCUUAAUGGAGAAAGAGCGCGCAAAUCUCUUGAAGACUCUUGGCACACAGUUAUUAGGUCGCUGAGCCACUAAGGGCAAUGGUAA
Camelina sativa (false flax) is the source of this 535-nucleotide non-coding RNA. The record is from RefSeq and is a predicted model, not a curated record. NCBI's taxonomy places the organism in Eukaryota, Viridiplantae, Streptophyta, Magnoliopsida, Brassicales, Brassicaceae.